This is a long non-coding RNA of Physeter macrocephalus (sperm whale), 1697 nucleotides long. RefSeq lists it as uncharacterized. NCBI's taxonomy places the organism in Eukaryota, Metazoa, Chordata, Mammalia, Artiodactyla, Physeteridae. The record is from RefSeq and is a predicted model, not a curated record. The transcript is spliced from 3 exons.
UUUUCUCCCACAGGAUUCCGGGCAGGCCUGUCCCUCCCCGUCACAUGUCCCCAUGGCGCCAUCACAGCUCAGCGCACGUGACUGAACAUCUGCCUGGCUCUUCUGUGCUUUCUUACUGAAGAGGAUAAGGAAGGGAGGAAACUGGAGGAUGGGCAUGUUAGCAGAGAGGACCAGUGGACGGCCCAGGAGAAGGGUUCUUUCACGGAUGCCUUGAGAAGCCCAGUGAAAACGGAGACACGAGUCGGGGCCUUGUAACUGCCCCACACAGGGGUCGGAAGGGGGCAGAGGCCGGCGAAGGAAGAGACGUGGCCGGCUGCACUGCCCCCGCACCCAGGGGGCCAGGCCCUGUGUCCAGCUAGGGGGCCUUCAAGUCACAUUUCUGCAAGGAGAUUUUCCUGAGCCGUGUCUCUGGGACCACAGAGGGCCUGGAAGCAGGGUUAGUGAGGCCAAUUCGUGGAAGACCAAACACAAGAGGAAAAGGCUGCCCGGCUCACCAGCGCCCGCACUGUGCUCGGCCUGGAGCAGGUGUGGAAUCCGCCCAUCUCUGCAUGCGUGCAGGCCCGAGGUGUGAGAGAGGGCCCGACACCCGGCCCCCAGGGAAAGCUCAGCAGUGUGUUCAGCCUCCUGGUGAGUCCGGGCCUGGGGGCUCCAUGCUGGGCUAGGGGCCUCUGAAGCGGCAGCCUUGUCAUCCCUCCCGGCAGGGCCGGGCUGCUCAGCCUGAGCAGAUGAAAUCCAAGGCCCACAUGGGGCCGUGCUUCCAGGAGCUUAUCAAAGUGUCCCCACCCUCUGGCCUCACAGCCCCACUGUGAGCACUGCCCCAGGGAAAAUGGCCCGAAGCAAUUCUUCGCAGAAUAAUGGUGAGAAAUGAGAAAUAACAGGGAUCCAGCCCCAGGAGACGGUGACCGUUGUGGAACGGCCCUGGCUGGAAUAACGUGCAGGUAUCAAACCUGGUGUUUGCACUGAAUUUCUCAUCUGAGGGGGAAGCACUUCUGGUGAGAAGUUAGGUCCCAGAGCUGGAACCCAGCGGUGACUACGGAGCAAAUGAAGAACUUGGACUCGGUGCUCAGAUUGAUUUCGAGUUUAACCCCUUCUCUGCCUUUUUCUUACUACGUGUGGGCCUGGGUUUGUCAAACUCUUGAAGCUUCCGCUUGUCCAUCUAUAAAAGGAAGCUACACUGCCUGCCUCCAAGGGCUGGAGCCUGUAAAGGAAAGAUGCGGGGAAGCUUGGGGGCGCUUGGAACAUGGUCAAGGUGGCGAUGACAGCGGCCGCAGAGAAACGUCAAAUGCACGCGUGUGGAGGGCUGGGCAGAAGAGGUUGCCUCUGGGUCAAUUAUUUCUCUUCCCUUUCUUUCACUAUUUUAUCUCAAUUCUCUCUAAGGAUCCUAGUUUACUUUGAAAGUGAACCCAAAUAACUUUAUUCUUGCUUCACAUCUAUCUUUGGUGGAGGCGUCCCGUACUCAGCCUGAGGUCACGGAGCCCCCAGGUGCCCCGUGGGGUCCAGAGAGGCGAUGUGAGCGCCUCAGGGCAGCCCGGUGCACAGCCCCGUGGAGACCCACGGCCCGCAGGGCUAGCAGGAGCUGGCGCCCCUCCCCCCGAGGGGGUGUGUCCCAUGGAGGAAGCGAGUCACGCACCCUGGCAACGCUGUUUUCCCACGUGAAGUGCGGGGCAUGGCGCAGCCCUCUCGAUGUGUGCCUGUCU